Molecule: long non-coding RNA, 3335 nt
Filed under: Sus scrofa (pig)
Lineage: Eukaryota; Metazoa; Chordata; Mammalia; Artiodactyla; Suidae
Description: lncRNA (ENSSSCG00015034937.1)
Source: RNAcentral
GGUGUUGGUGGCAGCUGCAGGGCAGGCUAGGGGUCGAAUUGGAGCUACAGCUGCCAGCCUGUGUCACAGCCACAGCAACGCCAGAUUUGAGCUGUGUCUGUGGCCUACACCACAGCUCCUGGCAACACCGGAUCCUUAACCCUCUGAGCAAGGCCAGGAAUGGAACCCAAAACCUCAUGGUUCCUAGUCGAAUUUGUUUCUGCUGCACCACAACAGGAACUCCACUGACUGCAUUUUUAAAAUUUUUCUCCACCCAGCCCCCAAGGAAUUAGCUGCUAAGGGAUCUAAGGUAUUACCUCCCCAGAGAUCUUUGAAAUUUAGUUUAAGAUUCUGAAAAGUCACAUCCACUAAAUCUGGUACUUACUGAGUAUUACUUCUAUAUCAAGCACUUUUAUAACAUUGUAUAGUAUAUUCCACAACAACCCUUCAGGCAAAAUACUCUCCCCAUUGUACAGAUGGGAAAAUGAAGACCUGGAAAGUUAACCAACUGGGAGUCAUUCAGAAAAUAUCUAUGGAAUUCCUGUUCUUAGUGAGACACUGUGCUGGAAAAGAGCUGUUUCUGUUGUGGUCCUAAAAGUUCUCAGUCUAGCCAGGAGAUACUCAUACAUAAGACUGUAACUGGCUGUGCUUUUUUUUUUUUUUUUUUUUUUUUUCCUUUGAGGGUUCAUUGGGAGCACUUAGGACUACCUGAGAAUGUUGGUGAAGGCUUCACAUGGGAGGCCUUGUUUGAGCUGAAAUAUGGGGAAAUUUUGAGGUGUGGGGUAUUGGAAUGCUUGGUUCAAAUUCCAGGCAGCAUUACUAUCUAACAUGACAGUAUGAGGGAGUAAGUUUUUUUUGAGAAGCAACCAGUAAUUUGUUACAACCGGAGUAUGGGCAAGAAUAGCUGGAGAUUAGGCUGGAUAAUAGUAGUGAUACCAAUAGUAAUUAAUAUUUAUCAAUUGUACCAUGUGCAAAGCAUUGUACAUGGUCUCAUUUAAUUCUGAUGAAUAGAUGCUGUUCUUAUCCUAGCUCUACAGAUAGUGAAACUGAGUUACCCCAGAUUGGUUAAAUGAUUUGCCUAGGAUCACAGCCGGUUAGUGACACACAGUUAAGAAAUGAUUUGCCCAGGGUAAUAUAGAUAGCUACAGACAUACCCAGCAUAUGAACCAAGCAGUCUGGCUCCAGAGACUGUCUUCUCUUUUUUUUUUUUUUUUUUUUUUUUUUGUCUUUUUGCUAUUUCUUGGGCCACUCUCGUGGCAUAUGGAGGUUCCCAGGCUAGGGGUCCAAUCAGAGCUGUAGCCGCCAGUCUACGCCAGAGCCACAGCAACUCGGGACCCCAGCCGAGUCUGCAGCCUACACCACAGCUCAGGCAACUCCAGAUCGUCAACCCCCUGAGCAAGGCCAGGGUUCGAACCCGCAACCUCAUGGUUCCUAGUUGGAUUCAUUAACCACUGUGCCACGACGGGAGCUCCCAGAGACUGUCUCUUAAUCACUUGCUAUGAUGCAGGAUCAGACCAUGAAAGGACUUCUGAAGGAGCUGAAAUUUUAUUAUGCGGAUCAGUGGUUUUUUUUUUUUUUUUAAAAAAACCCAAUCCACAGAAAUACAUUUUUUAUUAUGACUGAGCAUGUGCAUGUGUGUAUAAAACUAUGAAAAGUCUCAUGAACAAUAUUUUUACUUUGUAUGAGGCAUGCAUAGUUUCUCUUCUGUUUUCUUAAGGAAAUACUGGUUGGGACCCACUUAAAUUGAUUCUACAAUUUAAGCCACAGUUUGGAAAAAUACUGCUUGUCAGUGUGUGAGUGUUGGAAGAAUUUCAAGUAGGGGAAUUGCAUGGUUAGGUUUGUGCUUUUAGAUAGGUCACACUGGCAGCAGUAUGAAGGCUUCAUUGGAGAGAAUGGUACCAGGAAGACAGACACCAGUGUAGAACAUCUUAAUGGACCAGGCAAAAGAUGCCUGAACUGGGACAGUACAUUGAGGAUAGAGAAAAGGGACUAGAGAGAAGGAAGAUUAGGAAGUAGAGUUGAUAGAACUGGGCAAUUGAAUGUGGACUAUCACUCAGCUAGUACCAGGUAGAAAGGCAGUUUAAGUCAAAACUAUAUUAUUCAGGCACUGAAAUUUUACUUCUUGACCUUUUUUAUGUGUUUUUUUUUGUAGUCAUGUUAAAUAUACUUUGUUGUUUUAUCUACACCUCUACUUUUGUAUUUAAAAAAAAAAAAAACUGGUUUAGGAGUUCUCAUUGCGGGUUCAGCGGGUUAAGGACCUGACAUAUUGUUAGUGAGGAUGUGGGUUUGAUCCCUGGCUUUGUGCAGUGGGUUAAAGAUCUGGCAUUGCUGCAAGCUAUGGUAUAGGUGGCUUGGAUCCGGUGUUGCCAUGGCUGUGGCAUAGGCCAGUGGCUGUAGCUCUGAUUUGACCCCUGGUCUGGAAACUUCCAUAUGUUUUGGUGUGGCCCUAAAAAAAAAAAGAAGAAACCUUGUUUUAUUAUUAUUAUUAUUAUUUGCUUUUUAGGGCCACAUCUGUGGCAUGUGGAGUUUCCCAGGCUAGAGGCUGAAUUAGAGCGGCGGCUGUCAGCCAACACCAUAGCCACAGAAGGCAGGAUCUGAGCCACAUCUGUGACCUACAUCACAGCUCAUGGCAACUCUGGAUCCUUAACCCACUGAGUGAGGCAAGGGAUUGAACUCACCUCCUCAUGGGUACUAGUCGGGUUCGAUACUGCUGAGCCAUGAUGGAAACUCCUAAUUAUUUUUAAACAAUUAAAACAUCUACAUAUCAAAUCAGAUACCCACCUUACCCUCUUAUUUCUGACUUCCCACCCCUAUUCCAUCUACUAUUAUCUGGAAGAUUUGCAUAGCAGUAUGAAAAAUUCACACUUCUGUUGUGGCUCAGUGGCUAAUGAACCCAGUUAGGAUCCAUGAGAACGCAGGUUCGAUCCUUGGCCUUACUCAGUGGAUUAGGGUUCUGGCGUUGCCACUGAGCUAUGGUUUAGGUUGCAGACUUGGCUUGGAUCCUGAGUUGCUGUGGCUGUGGUGUAGGCCAGUGGCUAUAGCUCCGAUUCGGCCCCUAGCUUGGAAACUUCCAUAUGCCAUGGGUAUGGCGCUAAAAAGGCAAAAAAAAAAAAAUUCAAAUAGCAUGAUGAGCACUCAGCAAAUCUCUUUUGAAAUAAUAUAUUCCCUGUAUUAUACUGUCCCAAAGCAGAAACUCUUAAUGUUAUAGUCAUUUAUUAGAAGAAUACUUUUGAAUAAUUUUCUUGGACUUUGUUCUCUUUAACUUUCCAUUUUUGUAAUAUUUGAUUCCCAUUAGGGAAUAUUAAGCAUUGUGUGUAUGAUACUCUUACCUUAAAAAAAAAAAAAAAACAAAAAAA